RNAcentral lists this ribosomal RNA (829 nucleotides) under uncultured Actinomycetes bacterium. RNAcentral's name for it is "bacterial SSU rRNA". It matches the Rfam family "Bacterial small subunit ribosomal RNA", at positions 616 to 1447 of the family's 1533-position model. The record is from RNAcentral. Lineage: Bacteria; Bacillati; Actinomycetota; Actinomycetes.
CUGACCUGCAUUCGAUACGGUCUAGCUAGAGUGUGGUAGGGGAGACUGGAAUUCCUGGUGUAGCGGUGGAAUGCGCAGAUAUCAGGAGGAACACCGAUGGCGAAGGCAGGUCUCUGGGCCAUUACUGACACUGAGGAGCGAAAGCGUGGGGAGCGAACAGGAUUAGAUACCCUGGUAGUCCACGCCGUAAACGGUGGGCGCUAGUUGUGCGAACCUUCCACGGUUUGUGCGACGCAGCUAACGCAUUAAGCGCCCCGCCUGGGGAGUACGAUCGCAAGAUUAAAACUCAAAGGAAUUGACGGGGCCCCGCACAAGCAGCGGAGCAUGCGGCUUAAUUCGACGCAACGCGAAGAACCUUACCAAGGCUUGACAUAUACAGGAAUACGGCAGAGAUGUCGUAGCCGCAAGGUCUGUAUACAGGUGGUGCAUGGUUGUCGUCAGCUCGUGUCGUGAGAUGUUGGGUUAAGUCCCGCAACGAGCGCAACCCUCGUUCUGUGUUGCCAGCAUUUAGUUGGGGACUCACAGGAGACUGCCGGGGUUAACUCGGAGGAAGGUGGGGAUGACGUCAAAUCAUCAUGCCCCUUAUGUCUUGGGCUGCACGCAUGCUACAAUGGCUGGUACAAACGGCUGCAAUACCGCAAGGUGGAGCGAAUCCGAGAAAGCCAGUCUCAGUUCGGAUUGGGGUCUGCAACUCGACCCCAUGAAGUCGGAGCUGCUAGUAAUCGUAGAUCAGCAACGCUACGGUGAAUACGUUCCCGGGGCUUGUACACACCGCCCGUCACGUCACGAAAGUCGGUAACACCCAAAGUCAGUGGCCCAACCGUAAGGA